CAAUAGCGUAUAUUUAAGUUGUUGCAGUUAAAAAGCUCGUAGUUGGAUUUCGGGUGGGACGCAGCGGUCUCGCAUUGCGUUUGUACUGCUGCAGCCCUCCUUCUUGCCGGGGGCGGCCUCUCGGACUUCACUGUCUGGGGGUCAGAAUCGGCGAUGUUACUUUGAGUAAAUUAGAGUGUUCAAAGCAAGCUUACGCUCUAAAUAUAAUAGCAUGGGAUAACACGACAGGACUCUGGCCUAUCGUGUUGGUCUAUAGGACCAGAGUAAUGAUUAAGAGGGACAGUCGGGGGCAUUCGUAUUCCGUUGUCAGAGGUGAAAUUCUUGGAUUUACGGAAGACGAACAUCUGCGAAAGCAUUUGCCAAGGAUGUUUUCAUUGA
This 378-nucleotide ribosomal RNA is filed under the name uncultured eukaryote. Its description in RNAcentral is "partial 18S ribosomal RNA". It matches the Rfam family "Eukaryotic small subunit ribosomal RNA", at positions 592 to 976 of the family's 1831-position model. The record is from RNAcentral.